This 498-nucleotide long non-coding RNA is filed under the name Cavia porcellus (domestic guinea pig). RNAcentral's name for it is "lncRNA (ENSCPOG00000031971.1)". The record is from RNAcentral. Lineage: Eukaryota; Metazoa; Chordata; Mammalia; Rodentia; Caviidae.
GGGAGAAAGAGACAGAGAAAGACAGACAGACAGACAGAGACAGAGACAGAGAGACAGACAGAGACAGAGAGACAGAGAGAGAGACAGAAAGACAGAAAGACAGACAGACAGACAGACAGACAGACAGACAGAGACAGAGAGACACAGAGAGAGAGAGACCUACCGACAGGGCUGCUGUGGCCUGUUCCUAAGGUUGCACUCCAGUGGUUUGUGUCGUGUUGUGCUUGCUCAGCCGGCUUGAUCCUCCUUGUUAAAAAACCUCCAAACCUCUGAAGAGCGAAGUAAAUUAACCUGCAUCCGUAUGGGCUCCCUGGCCAGGCUGGAAAUGAAGAAGCUCACUGCUUGUCGUGUGGAAUGUGGGUUCCAUCACGACACUGACGUUACCCCAGAAGGAGACCAGAGUGUCAGUGAAUUGGAUACUGAACAGCUCCAACCAACAAACAGUGAGUACAAGUGGUUACUCUAAAAGAGCAGGAUGUUCUCCUGGAGAGCAUGAGU